GUGGGGAAUAUUGCACAAUGGGCGCAAGCCUGAUGCAGCAACGCCGCGUGAGGGAUGACGGCCUUCGGGUUGUAAACCUCUUUUAGUAGGGAAGAAGCGAAAGUGACGGUACCUACAGAAAAAGCACCGGCUAACUACGUGCCAGCAGCCGCGGUAAUACGUAGGGUGCAAGCGUUGUCCGGAAUUAUUGGGCGUAAAGAGCUCGUAGGCGGCUUGUCGCCUCUGCUGUGAAAACCCGAGGCUAAACCUCGGGCCUGCAGUGGGUACGGGCAAGCUAGAGUGCGGUAGGGGAGAUUGGAAUUCCUGGUGUAGCGGUGGAAUGCGCAGAUAUCAGGAGGAACACCGAUGGCGAAGGCAGAUCUCUGGGCCGUAACUGACGCUGAGGAGCGAAAGCAUGGGGCGCGAACAGGAUUAGAAACCCUGGUAGUCC
Molecule: ribosomal RNA, 430 nt
Filed under: uncultured bacterium
Lineage: Bacteria
Description: partial 16S ribosomal RNA
Rfam family: Bacterial small subunit ribosomal RNA
Source: RNAcentral